This 837-nucleotide ribosomal RNA is filed under the name Triticum aestivum (bread wheat). RNAcentral describes it as "partial small subunit ribosomal RNA". Lineage: Eukaryota; Viridiplantae; Streptophyta; Magnoliopsida; Poales; Poaceae. The record is from RNAcentral.
AUGCCGGAGAACGGAGUUGAGCUUGCAGCAGUACCACCCUUCGCCGAUACCUUGACUGGGCUAACCGAUGCCAACGGCGGCAAUGACCUUGACAUCGAUGGCCGCAUUCACGAGCUCUCCGAAAUCAUCAUGCAUGAAAUGUGUGCUAGCCGGGUGCCCCGACCAGGGAAACCAGAGAUCUAUCGCGUUCCCGAGACGUUCCUCGCCGCCGACGAGGGCGCCUACCAGCCGAGGUUCCUGUCCCUGGGGCCAUAUCACCGCGGCGACUCCGCCACGGAGGAGAUGCGGCGCACCGACGAGCGCAAGCUAGAGAACCUGGCCUACGCCCUCCAAGACGGCGGGCCGUCGGUGGAAGAGUACAUGGAGGCCAUAGCGUCCGUUGAGGCCGACGCCAGGAGCCGCUACGACGGAGACGUCGCCAUGGAGUGGGGCGCGUUCUGCAGGAUGCUACUGCUCGAUGGGUUCCAGCUGAUUACAGUGCUCAAGUUUCUCGGCUAUGAGCCGCCGCCGCUUCCACCUCCAGCUCCAGGGUGCAGCAGCAACAACAAUGGACAAGGGAACUGCAGGCCGAGGACCAGCGUUGUCAUCAGUAUCGAACAUGACUUGAUGAUGCUGGAGAACCAGAUACCAUUCUUCGUCGUCCAGAGGAUCCACCGCUUGCGAUACGGCAUUGGUGGAAAUGGAAUGGACACGGUUGAAGAGCUAGCCUGGAGGACCAUCAAAAGAAUUAUGAAUGACGCCCCGGCAGCGACCAGCUUUCCACCGGCGAAGUGCCACCAUUUGGUACAUCUGUGCCAUGAAUACCUGAGGCCAAGCAACCUCGACAAGUCACUGUGA